Esox lucius (northern pike) is the source of this 579-nucleotide long non-coding RNA. NCBI's taxonomy places the organism in Eukaryota, Metazoa, Chordata, Actinopteri, Esociformes, Esocidae. The record is from Ensembl.
GAGAUAGAGAGACAGGAAGAGAGUGAAACAGUAGAGAGAGAAAGAGAAAAAGAAAGAGAGUUAGUAAGACAAAAUUUCCAACCUAAUACUGGCCGUGAGUAGCAGACUGACAUUUAAAGAAGAGAGAGAAAAAGUCAGACAGGCUGGUGUGAUAUGUGAUAUUUUUCAGCUGUUUCCCUCCAAAUGAACUCAGAGGACAGGCUCCGAUGGCGACCUGGCCAAAGACAUGAACAACUGCAAGACAACACUCAGUUACACAUGAAUAUGACAAUCAAAAGCAUUAUGUAAAAUGCAGUAAGCAAGAGAUGAAUCUGUUUCCAUAUUAGAUGAUAAUUCCCAAGGACAGGAGGAAUCAGGGCACCAGGUCAGAGUGGACCAGAAGACCAGAACAGAGGUGAUUGGAACUGAGGUUACCAGGGCAGAGGGGACCAGGUCAGAGGGGACCAGGGUACCGGGGCAGAGGGGACCAGGUCAGAGUGGACCAGAAGAACAAAACAGAGGUGAUUGGAACAGAGGUUACCAGGUCAGAGGGGACUAGGGGACCAGGGCAGAGGGGACUAGGGGACCAGGGCUGAGGGG